Molecule: ribosomal RNA, 408 nt
Filed under: uncultured bacterium
Lineage: Bacteria
Description: partial 16S ribosomal RNA
Rfam family: Bacterial small subunit ribosomal RNA
Source: RNAcentral
GAUGAACGCUGGCGGCGUGCCUAAUACAUGCAAGUCGAGGAAAGCGGCGGACGGGUGAGUAACACGUGAGUAACCUGCCCUUUUCUUUAGGAUAAGCCUGGGAACCUGGGUCUAAUACUGGAUGGUUUGGGAUGGGCUCGCGGCUUAUCAGCUUGUUGGUGGGGUGAUGGCUUACCAAGGCGUUGACGGGUAGCCGGCCUGAGAGGGGGGGCGGUCAAGAUGGGACAGAGAUACGGCCCGGAGUCCUACGGGAGGCAGCAGUGUGGGAUGUAGCACAAUGAACGAAAGUCUGAUGCGGCGACUUCGUGUGGUAGAUGAAGGCCUUCGGGUUGUAAACUCCUUUCGCGCGAGGAAUGGUAGUGGAUAGAGAGGCGCCGGCUAGCUACAUGCCAGCCGCCGCGGUAAAAC